UGAAGUCUUGACCCACACGGUGUGGCCUUGCAGGAGCGGUGAGUGCAGCGUCUUACCUGUUGCUUCAGAGAAAAGUGUGUCAAUCCGCAGGCUCCUGACUUGAGGUUGUUCCUCCGAAUGAUCAGUAGAAGAAACAGAGAAGAGGAGAGAGGGUUAUGGAUUCUUCAAGGGGGGGGGGGGGGAUGGUGGCAAGUGGACAGUUCUCUGUGCCAGCCACCAGCUGGCACCCUUCCCCAAGGCAGCUCGCUUUCUUCUGAGGAGGUUCACAGUGACCAAGGGGCAGGGAGAGGGGCAAGGAGAUGAGCUAGGGGUGGCAGAAAAGGCUGUCGGUAUGUCUGUCUGAUACUCUUCUAAGCAAAGCGAUAGACCUCUAUCUCCUAGGGGCUGUGUCUGUGGUCAGAGUGGACAGCUACCACCACUGGCCCUCUCGCCUCAGGUACAUUCUUGCUGUCUCGGAUCCUGUUGUUUUUAGGGUGUCCUCCUCAACUGUGGCCACUUCUGUUCAUUAUUAUGGGGUCCACUCUAAGAAAAUAAGUAGUGCAAUAAUAGAAACAUAACAUAACUAAUAGAAACCAUACAGACCUGUGGACACAGUUGAUGACAUGACGGGUCGGCUGGGGUGGAGGGAGAGCAGGCAAACCUUCCUUUUGUCUCGUGAAUCCUGAUCAUGUACAUUUGCCCUGCAGUCCUAGGAGGUGAGCACCCGCUUGCUUCGUCUCUGUGUUAUGCUCUCCCUUGCAUGACUGUAUCUAAUCAGAGGUUGGGUGUAGGUUAGGGGUCCUUGAAAGCUUUCUCUCUGACUGUGUUCAGGAAGUUGAAGUGGAGUGUCAGAAAUGAUGGGAGAUGAUGGUGAAGUAAACAGAUCCGGGCAGCGUGUGAGGAAACCUGGCAGCCCUCUUCCUGCUUCUCUCUAGUUGUGACCCGAAGGAACCAGGCUUCCUGCAUGGAAAAGGGUCCCUGUGCCAAGAGGCCUGACAUGUCUUCCAGGCCAGGGCACUGUUCUGUCUGAUAAACUCCAGGGUGAAGACAGGUUACUGGUUGGCAGGAUGGAGGUAAGUCACAUGGCUGCAGCCUGAGCUAUAUGGAUGUAGAGUUAAAAUGGCAUGUAUUCAAGGAAGCAAAAAGAUACCAGAUACCUUGGCAGAAGCCCAUGGGGGCAGCAGUGGUUAUCUGUCUUGCUUUCUCCCCUUAUUGCCUUUGUCCCUGGUGUGUGUGAGGUGCUUAUUUUGUAUUUUCAGGUGAACAAUGGCUGUAAAUGAAGCUUCGGCUGCUGACUCCAGCCCACCCCCACUUACCUCUCUCAUGUUGGUUACAAGGUGACAGUUUGUUCCAUCACAUGCUACUCCCAGCACUGCUGCCUUGCCAAAAACAAUGGGGCUAAUGGCAGUGCAUUGACACCUCUAAAGCCGUGAGCCGAAAUAAAUCCUCUCGCUUAGUGCCCUACCUCAGAUAUUGUUAAAGUAACAGAAAGUUGAUGCUGGCAGCUGACCAUGCUCAUGUGGCGUUUCUGUGUCACCUCUAGGGGAGAGCUCAGCUCUUUCUGCUCUCUAACUAUGGCCUGUGCUGCCUUUGCACACCCUCUUCCUUCUCUCCAGGACAGGUGUUGAAGUAAGCAGACAGCCCAGUUGCAGUCAGCUCACAUUGAUCACUACAGACCAGGCUGUUCUACACUGUAGAUCACAGAGCUCUUUGCUAUGAAGGUAGCAGGCUUGCUGCAGCCCCCUGAGGUGGAUCUGAGAGAGAAGGAGCCAUGAGAAGGGGUCAUUAAUGCUUUCUGGGUUAUUAGAAUUUGAACAUGGAGAACAGACUUCAUCUUGCUCAUUCAGUGCUAGCUUCUUUUUGGUUAAGACCUUGGGAAGUGAUUUGGCUUUUGUGGUGCCCCCAUCCUCAUGGCCUGAGGUGUAGACUUGGACUCCGUAUGGGGUCUGCCCUUGGCACUGAGGUAUAGUUGCCUAGGGGAUCUACUCCUGCUGUGUUACAGUAACACCAGUGUUUCCCAAGAGGAUGUAAAUGCUUACUUGAUCUCCAAAAAGUCUUGAAGCAAAUUAGAAACAACUUGAGAAAUCAUGUAUGUCAAUAGAAAGUUGACUUGGGAAACCUUUUACCCAUCCAUUCACUUGUGGAGAGAAAAUUUGAUUCUUUUCCUCAGGGUUCCUAAAGCGUUAACAAGAGCCAGAAGGGUGUUUCCAGAUUCCUCACACACUAUUCCAAGCUUAAAUGGAGGGCACUGUAUGAUGGAAAGCAUAUUCUCUGACAGCACUUUUUCUUUAUUUAAUUACUUAUUGUGUGUGGGCUUUUAGCACAAACCUGUCCCUUGCCCCACGCUCUCUGGGGGUCUGUAACCACAAAAGAGUGAAUGGGGAUUUAUAUCAAACGACAUAAUUAAAUGCUGCAGGUGUGACAGGGUUCUCAGGAUUCA
RNAcentral lists this long non-coding RNA (2419 nucleotides) under Mus musculus (house mouse). Its description in RNAcentral is "long non-coding RNA chr13:94070190-94072609". Lineage: Eukaryota; Metazoa; Chordata; Mammalia; Rodentia; Muridae. The record is from RNAcentral.